RNAcentral lists this ribosomal RNA (85 nucleotides) under Araucaria muelleri. Its description in RNAcentral is "partial 5.8S ribosomal RNA". It matches the Rfam family "5.8S ribosomal RNA", at positions 73 to 154 of the family's 154-position model. Rfam says of the family: 5.8S ribosomal RNA (5.8S rRNA) is a component of the large subunit of the eukaryotic ribosome. It is transcribed by RNA polymerase I as part of the 45S precursor that also contains 18S and 28S rRNA. Lineage: Eukaryota; Viridiplantae; Streptophyta; Pinopsida; Araucariales; Araucariaceae. The record is from RNAcentral.
UGCAGAAUCCCGUGAAUCAUCGANUNUUUGAACGCAAGUUGCGCCCGAGGCUUCGGCCGAGGGCACGUCUGCCUGGGCGUCGCAC